RNAcentral lists this ribosomal RNA (253 nucleotides) under uncultured prokaryote. RNAcentral describes it as "partial 16S ribosomal RNA". It matches the Rfam family "Bacterial small subunit ribosomal RNA", at positions 524 to 776 of the family's 1533-position model. The record is from RNAcentral.
UACAGAGGUCCCAGGCGUUGUUCGGAUUCACUGGGCGUAAAGGGUGCGUAGGUGGUAAGGCAAGUCAGGUGUGAAAUCUCCGGGCUCAACCCGGAAAUGGCAUUCGAAACUACCUUGCUAGAGGAUUUGAGGGGGGACUGGAAUACUUGGUGUAGCAGUGAAAUGCGUAGAUAUCAAGUGGAACACCAGUGGCGAAGGCGAGUCCCUGGAAAAUUCCUGACACUGAGGCACGAAAGCUAGGGGAGCAAACAGG